CCUACGGGUGGCAGCAGUGGGGAAUAUUGCACAAUGGGGGAAACCCUGAUGCAGCGACGCCGCGUGAGUGAAGAAGUAAUUCGUUACGUAAAGCUCUAUCAGCAGGGAAGAAAAUGACGGUACCUGAGUAAGAAGCCCCGGCUAACUACGUGCCAGCAGCCGCGGUAAUACGUAGGGGGCAAGCGUUAUUCGGAUUUGCUGGGUGUAAAGGGAGCGGAGACGGUGCGCCAAGUCUGGCGUGAAAUGCCGGGGCUUAACUGCGGAACUGCUUUGGAAACUGGCGAACUAGAGUGCGGGAGGGGGAAGCGGAAUUCCUAGUGUAGCGGUGAAAUGCGUAGAGAUGAGGAGGAACACCGGUGGCGAAGGCGGCUUACUGGACAGUAACUGACGUUGAGGUGCGAAAGCGUGGGGAGCAAACAGGAUUAGAUACCCGGGUAGUC
RNAcentral lists this ribosomal RNA (440 nucleotides) under uncultured bacterium. RNAcentral describes it as "partial 16S ribosomal RNA". It matches the Rfam family "Bacterial small subunit ribosomal RNA", at positions 338 to 795 of the family's 1533-position model. The record is from RNAcentral.